UUGAACGCUGGCGACAUGCCUUACACAUGCCCGUCGAACGGCAGCACGGGUGCUUGCACCUGGUGGCGAGUGGCGAACGGGUGAGUAAUACAUCGGAACAUGUCCUGUAGUGGGGGAUAGCCCGGCGAAAGCCGGAUUAAUACCGCAUACGAUCUACGGAUGAAAGCGGGGGACCUUCGGGCCUCGCGCUAUAGGGUUGGCCGAUGGCUGAUUAGCUAGUUGGUGGGGUAAAGGCCUACCAAGGCGACGAUCAGUAGCUGGUCUGAGAGGACGACCAGUCACACUGGGACUGAGACACGGCCCAGACUCCUACGGGAGGCAGCAGUGGGGAAUUUUGGACAAUGGGCGAAAGCCUGAUCCAGCAAUGCCGCGUGUGUGAAGAAGGCCUUCGGGUUGUAAAGCACUUUUGUCCGGAAAGAAAUCCUUGGCCCUAAUACGGUCGGGGGAUGACGGUACCGGAAGAAUAAGCACCGGCUAACUACGUG
Molecule: ribosomal RNA, 485 nt
Filed under: uncultured bacterium
Lineage: Bacteria
Description: partial 16S ribosomal RNA
Rfam family: Bacterial small subunit ribosomal RNA
Source: RNAcentral